AUUGAACGCUGGCGGCAGGCCUAACACAUGCAAGUCGAACGAGUGGCGGACGGGUGAGUAAUGUCUGGGAAACUGCCUGAUGGAGGGGGAUAACUACUGGAAAAGGUAGCUAAUACCGCAUACCAUCGGAUGUGCCCAGAUGGGAUUAGCUAGUCGGUGGGGUAACGGCGCAACUAGGCGACGAUCCCUAGCUGGUCUGAGAGGAUGAACUGCCACACUGGAACUGAGACACGGACCAUACUCCUACGGGAGGCAGCAGUGGGGAAUAUUGCACAAUGGGCGCAAGCCUGAUGCAGCCAUGCCGCUUGUAUGAAGAAGGCCUUCGGGUUGUAAAGUACUUUCAGCUGGGAGGCGUUACCCGCAGAAGAAGCACCGGCUAACUCCGUGCCAACAGCCGCGGUAAUUC
This 406-nucleotide ribosomal RNA is filed under the name uncultured bacterium. RNAcentral describes it as "partial 16S ribosomal RNA". It matches the Rfam family "Bacterial small subunit ribosomal RNA", at positions 30 to 526 of the family's 1533-position model. The record is from RNAcentral.